AAAACUUGGUAAAUAAUAAUAUUUAAUCAAAACGACAUACAGUUAUCAUCGGUUAUUUUAAAAGUGCACCUCUUUGCUUGGCCUCUUCAGUGCCCUCAACCCUCUAUGCGUUCAUAAGGCCUCUCCACGAUCUCCAUGAGUUUCCCUUUGGGUAACUUUUCUCUCCACCUUUCACAGGAACAGAUUUAGCUCUCAACCUGUUCAUCUCUCCCUUCGCAUUUUAUCUCCGUGGGUCUUUCUCUUGGGCAUGAUGGUGUCAGCUGGGGGCUCAUUCUGGGGAAUCCUGUAGGUUUGACAGCACUGAGAGCAGCUAGAGCUUCAUUUCUUCUCCCAGCAUCCAUUUAUUGACCCCUUAAGGAAUCUCUCUGAAAUUUUGACCUGGUGGGAAAUCCUUGAACUGACAGGGCUUCUAAAGGACAGCCUGUUUCUGCCCUCAUCAUCAACACAUCUGCCCUCAAACUGUUUUUGGCAGGUGAACAAGGGAUCUUAUAAUUCCACAAUCUCAACGUAUUUCUUUUCCACAAUCUCUGCACUCACGUAUUGGUACUGUGUUCUGGUUAGAAAUGCUCACCACCCUCAUCAACUACGCACUGAACCUUGGUAGUCUUGAAUGGAGUUCUGAGUGUGCUCAGUGGGACAAAUAUAUCAUUCAUUCGUUUCCAGGGUAGACAUUUGCUGAGUGGCUACUGUGUGUUGGUCACUGUUAGCUGUAGGAGAUACAAAGCAAAAGAAAAAAUUCUGACUCUGGAAAAACUCAUGGGUUUGUUUGUUUUUUUCCUUUGGCAAUGUUGAAAGGACUCAAAAUAUUAUUUACUUUGCAGCUCAGGGGUCCAUUUUGGACCUUUCCUUGUGGAUAGAGGGCCUUUCAUUCUUCUGAGGCCAGAGGACAUGGAGGCAGCUGCUUAGGUUAGGGUGCUGACGAUGACCUGGGAAACUGAGACUCAGAGAAGGCAAGUGCAACCUCGGGGCCACCUGGUGGUCUGGUGAUGGUGCUGGGACGGGCACGAGGCAUUGCAGGGGGAAAAUACGUGGAGAUGCUGCAUUUCUGAAGUACAAGAUCGGCUGAAUUGCUGUCAAGCCAGAACAUCUCAGAGCAGGUAGGGAGGGGUUCCAAGUCCGCAGAUGAUCCAGAAAAGAGAAAGCUCGCUCAUUUCCUUCCUCCUUUUACCUGCCAUGCUUCCUUACCCCAGGACCUGGAAGGAAUUCAGACUCUCCCCAUCCUGGGGCCUGAGGAGAGGACUGAGGACUUAAUACACGUAAUGUGCUUGGAACCACGCCUGGCACAGAGUGCUGUAUACGUCUGUCUGUCUGUUGUUAUGUUAUUAUUAUAGUUCUCAGAUGACCAAACAGAUGGACCUGGACUUUUCAUUUGAGUAGCCUCUCAUCGGCAGUGGGAGUGCUGGUCUGAAUUUUGUGCCGAUGGCACGUCUCUCCUCCAGCCCUUGCCAAUGUCACGUGACUGGAUCCCUCCACUGCCGAUUUUAGACCUCACUUUCUAAACCACGGGUCCCCAAGCCCCAGACCACAGACCGGUGCUGGUCGGUGGCCUGAUAGAAAUAGGGCCGCACAGCAGGAGACUCAUAUCAAAACCCUAUCAGUGAGUGGCAAGUACAAACGAGCUCAGGGAUCCCGCUGAUUCCUGCAUUAUGUUUGCUUUCUCAUCCCAGGUGACCUGGUUCAUAUGAAGAUGGGAGCAUAGCCCUUCUGCAGAGCCCUCUGAAUACGUCACAAGCUCAAACGGGCGUUAAGGUUAUCCUGGUCCAUCCGCGAUCUCUGAGAAGAAGUAAACAGGGGCCUGGCUCGUAAUAACACGCAGCUGGGAGUGGUGUGUUCCCAGCGUUCUUUGGGGGAAAGCCUGCCCUGUCAGAAGAAUAAAGCGCAGCCCACAGCUAGCAGGGCUGGUGAGGAAUCAUGAUGCUUUUAUAGGAAGGAAAGGGCUGUGAUUCACACGUGUCAGAGUUGAUGGGAAAAUUAAGGGCUCCCUUCCCCAAGGAGGGGCAAUAGAACUCUCUCUUUAAAUAUUACAUUUCUUUAAAUAAAAAGAAAAGUCACUUCA
Lagenorhynchus albirostris (white-beaked dolphin) is the source of this 2056-nucleotide long non-coding RNA. RefSeq lists it as uncharacterized. The record is from RefSeq and is a predicted model, not a curated record. NCBI's taxonomy places the organism in Eukaryota, Metazoa, Chordata, Mammalia, Artiodactyla, Delphinidae. The transcript has 3 exons.